Molecule: ribosomal RNA, 450 nt
Filed under: uncultured bacterium
Lineage: Bacteria
Description: SSU rRNA
Rfam family: Bacterial small subunit ribosomal RNA
Source: RNAcentral
AGGAUGAGCGCUGGCGGUCUGCUUAACACAUGCAAGUCGAACGGAGUAGCAAUACUUAGUGGCGGACGGGUGAGUAACGCGUGAGAAUCUACCUUCAGGACGGAGACAACAGUUGGAAACGACUGCUAACCCCCGAUGUACUGAAAAGGCAAAUAUUUAUAGCCUGAAGAAGAGCUCGCGUCCGAUUAGCUAGUUGGAGAGGUAAAAGCUCACCAAGGCGACGAUCGGUAGCUGGUCUGAGAGGACGAUCAGCCACACUGGGACUGAGACACGGCCCAGACUCCUACGGGAGGCAGCAGUGGGGAAUUUUCCGCAAUGGGCGAAAGCCUGACGGAGCAAGACCGCGUGGGGGAAGAAGGCUCUUGGGGUUGUAAACCCCCUUUUCUCUGGGAAGAACACAAUGACGGUACCAGAGGAAUCAGCAUCGGCUAACUCCGUGCCAGCAGCCGC